CCUUCGAAAAGGCUCACCCGCGCGAAAGCCGGGGUCGCAAAGUCACCGGUCUUCGAGCGCCAGCCGGCGCGUCAUGACAGCGGAACUGCCGAG
RNAcentral lists this non-coding RNA (93 nucleotides) under Rhizobacter sp. Root404. RNAcentral's name for it is "c-di-GMP-I riboswitch aptamer". It matches the Rfam family "c-di-GMP-I riboswitch aptamer". From Rfam's summary of the family: GEMM was predicted in a large-scale screen for bacterial structured RNA regulatory elements. Genes associated with GEMM are involved in a diverse array of functions, including chemotaxis regulation, signal transduction, secretion and chitin. The record is from Rfam by way of RNAcentral. Lineage: Bacteria; Pseudomonadati; Pseudomonadota; Betaproteobacteria; Burkholderiales; Sphaerotilaceae. RNAcentral also lists the same sequence under 1 other name.